This 107-nucleotide small nucleolar RNA is filed under the name Gossypium arboreum. RNAcentral's name for it is "Plant small nucleolar RNA R71". It matches the Rfam family "Plant small nucleolar RNA R71". Rfam says of the family: R71 is a member of the C/D box family of snoRNAs containing the C (UGAUGA) and D (CUGA) box motifs. Multiple nearly identical copies of this snoRNA have been identified in Arabidopsis, and it is thought to function as a 2'-O-ribose methylation guide for 18S ribosomal RNA. Lineage: Eukaryota; Viridiplantae; Streptophyta; Magnoliopsida; Malvales; Malvaceae. The record is from Rfam by way of RNAcentral.
AUUCUGUGAUGAGGACACUUUCGUAAUAAUUCUUUGUACCUUUCCCAUGCCUCAUACAAGGACUCAUCAUCAAUUUGUUGGAAAGUCGCGAUCUCGUUCCUCAACUU